This 899-nucleotide ribosomal RNA is filed under the name uncultured bacterium. RNAcentral's name for it is "bacterial SSU rRNA". It matches the Rfam family "Bacterial small subunit ribosomal RNA", at positions 8 to 916 of the family's 1533-position model. The record is from RNAcentral.
AGAGUUUGAUCCUGGCUCAGGACGAACGCUGGCGGCGUGCUUAACACAUGCAAGUCGAACGGUGACGGUCAAGCUUGCUUGGUCUGAUCAGUGGCGAACGGGUGAGUAACACGUGAGUAACCUGCCCCAGACUCUGGGAUAACCCCGGGAAACCGGAGCUAAUACCGGAUAUGACACCAAUCCGCAUGGGUAUGGUGUGGAAAGUUUUUCGGUCUGGGAUGGACUCGCGGCCUAUCAGCUUGUUGGUGAGGUAGUGGCUCACCAAGGCGACGACGGGUAGCCGGCCUGAGAGGGCGACCGGCCACACUGGGACUGAGACACGGCCCAGACUCCUACGGGAGGCAGCAGUGGGGAAUAUUGCACAAUGGGCGAAAGCCUGAUGCAGCGACGCCGCGUGAGGGAUGACGGCCUUCGGGUUGUAAACCUCUUUCAGCAGGGAAGAAGCGAAAGUGACGGUACCUGCAGAAGAAGCACCGGCUAACCACGUGCCAGCAGCCGCGGUAAUACGUAGGGUGCGAGCGUUGUCCGGAAUUAUUGGGCGUAAAGAGCUUGUAGGUGGUUUGUCGCGUCUGCUGUGAAAAUCCGAGGCUCAACCUCGGACUUGCAGUGGGUACGGGCAGACUAGAGUGUGGUAGGGGAGACUGGAAUUCCUGGUGUAGCGGUGGAAUGCGCAGAUAUCAGGAGGAACACCGAUGGCGAAGGCAGGUCUCUGGGCCAUUACUGACACUGAGAAGCGAAAGCAUGGGGAGCGAACAGGAUUAGAUACCCUGGUAGUCCAUGCCGUAAACGUUGGGAACUAGGUGUGGGUCUCAUUCCACGAGAUCCGUGCCGCAGCUAACGCAUUAAGUUCCCCGCCUGGGGAGUACGGCCGCAAGGCUAAAACUCAAAGGAAUUGACGG